CAGCAGCCGCGGGAAAACGGAGGGUGCAAGCGUUAUCCGGAUUUAUUGGGUUUAAAGGGUCCGUAGGCGGAUCUGUAAGUCAGUGGUGAAAUCUCACAGCUUAACUGUGAAACUGCCAUUGAUACUGCAGGUCUUGAGUAAAUUUGAAGUGGCUGGAAUAAGUAGUGUAGCGGUGAAAUGCAUAGAUAUUACUUAGAACACCAAUUGCGAAGGCAGGUCACUAAGAUUUAACUGACGCUGAUGGACGAAAGCGUGGGGAGCGAACAGGAUUAGAUACCCGCGUAGUCCCUGUCUCUUAUAA
RNAcentral lists this ribosomal RNA (301 nucleotides) under uncultured bacterium. Its description in RNAcentral is "partial 16S ribosomal RNA". It matches the Rfam family "Bacterial small subunit ribosomal RNA", at positions 509 to 809 of the family's 1533-position model. The record is from RNAcentral.